GGCCCAAUGGUCUAGUCGUAUGAUUCUCGCUUUGGGUGUUCUCAAGUGCGAGAGGUCACGGGUUCAAUUCCCGUUUGGGCCC
Transfer RNA from Exidia glandulosa HHB12029, 82 nucleotides. It matches the Rfam family "tRNA". Rfam says of the family: Transfer RNA (tRNA) molecules are approximately 80 nucleotides in length. Their secondary structure includes four short double-helical elements and three loops (D, anti-codon, and T loops). The record is from Rfam. NCBI's taxonomy places the organism in Eukaryota, Fungi, Basidiomycota, Agaricomycetes, Auriculariales, Exidiaceae.